RNAcentral lists this long non-coding RNA (574 nucleotides) under Physcomitrium patens. Its description in RNAcentral is "long non-coding RNA (PPAT_LNC009170)". The record is from RNAcentral. Lineage: Eukaryota; Viridiplantae; Streptophyta; Bryopsida; Funariales; Funariaceae.
GUUUUAAGAUAUUAGCAAGAAAUUGGAGAAUUGAAUUAAAAACUAGACUUCUAGAUAAAUAUUUUAUAUUGAAUAAUUGAUAGAAUUGAGUCUAUAAUGAGUGAGAUAUGGCUGGUUAGAACCAUCAAAUUAAAACUAGAAUUUUGAAGAAAUUAGAGAAAUAGAAGGUUUUGGAUUUAAGUUAGAACUUGAGCUUCAAGACAAAUUUGAAGUUCAUUUUUUGUAUACUUGUUACUUAUGAUAAUAAAAGCCUAUGUCUAAAAUUAUAUGUCAAUUGACACUCUGAAUUACGAGAAAUGGUAAAUUUUUUUCUUAGGUAUCUAUAGUUUUGACUUUCAAAAGUACAUGAUAAGGAUUUGGUGAUAUCAAUCGAUUGGCAAUAAAUUUGUAGCUAAAAAUUUGUUUGAUAAAGUUCAAAGUUAUAAGUUUUUUACUCCCAAAUUUUAAGCUUAUUUGAAUGGUUGAAUCUUAGAAUAUAAAUUUUCAAGUUUCUAGUUUGGUUUUGACUUUCAAAAUACCAGCUAAGGAUUUGGUGAUAUCAAUCGAUUGACAACAAAUUUGUAGCUAAAAAUUU